CUUGUCAGAACUCCCACUCAUGUAAACUUCUUCUUCAUGACGUGGUAGCUUUGCUCAGC
This is a microRNA precursor of Astatotilapia calliptera (eastern happy), 59 nucleotides long. The record is from Ensembl. NCBI's taxonomy places the organism in Eukaryota, Metazoa, Chordata, Actinopteri, Cichliformes, Cichlidae.